AUUGAACGCUGGCGGCAGGCCUAACACAUGCAAGUCGAGCGAGCGGCGGACGGGUGAGUAAUGUAUGGGGACUGCCCGACAGAGGGGGAUAACUACUGGAAACGGUAGCUAAUACCGCAUACUAUCGGAUAACCCAUAUGGGAUUAGCUAGUAGGUGAGGUAAUGGCUCACCUGGGCGACGAUCCCUAGCGGGUCUGCGAGGAUGUUCAGCCACCCUGGGACGUAGAAGUGGCCAAGCGCCCUACGGAGGCGGCAUUGGGAAUCAUUCGACAAUGGGGGAAAGCCUGAUGCACCCAUGCGGCGUGGACGAAGAAGCCCUUAGGGUUUUAAAGUACUUUCAGUCGGGAGGCGUUACCGACAGAAGAAGCACCGGCUAACUCCGUGCCAGCAGCCGCGGUAAUAC
Molecule: ribosomal RNA, 403 nt
Filed under: uncultured bacterium
Lineage: Bacteria
Description: partial 16S ribosomal RNA
Rfam family: Bacterial small subunit ribosomal RNA
Source: RNAcentral